Molecule: unclassified non-coding RNA, 246 nt
Filed under: Amphinema sp. (in: basidiomycete fungi)
Lineage: Eukaryota; Fungi; Basidiomycota; Agaricomycetes; Atheliales; Atheliaceae
Also listed under: 1 other name
Description: partial contains 5.8S ribosomal RNA, internal transcribed spacer 2, and large subunit ribosomal RNA
Source: RNAcentral
AACGCACAUUGCGCCCCCUGGCAUUCCGGGGGGCAUGCCUGUUCGAGCGUCAUUACACCACUCAAGCCUGGCUUGGUAUUGGGCGUCGCGCCUCCGCGCGCGCCCUAAUGUCGCCGGCCGAGCCGUCCGUCUCUAAGCGUUGUGCAAACUAUCCGCUGGUGAGAAGGGGGGCGUCGCGCCGUUAAACCUGGACUCGCGUCCAUCAAGGUUGACCUCGGAUCAGGUAGGGAUACCCGCUGAACUUAA